Molecule: long non-coding RNA, 537 nt
Organism: Echinops telfairi (small Madagascar hedgehog)
Lineage: Eukaryota; Metazoa; Chordata; Mammalia; Afrosoricida; Tenrecidae
Exons: 2
Source: RefSeq, a predicted model, not a curated record
CGCGGAGCCCCUCCGCACCCGCACCUUGGACCCUGCAGCCCCGGAGCCCUGAAGCGCCUUCCCCGGAGCCAGAGGGUCUUUGCUCACAGAGAAGAAACCUGGUCCCUGUUCUGAGGAACCCCGGAUUUACAGGCAUGCACCACAGAAAGUCAAUCCCUUCUUUGAAAUAACCAGUCAAGCCAAGGACACCCCAGGACAAGUGACUCCUAUGAUUUCAGUGGGCUUCCUUUUGAUGGGCAAUAGAGUCAGACACUACUGGAGCCCUGGUGACACAGGAUUUAGAAAGCUUGGAAACACACCAGCUGCUUCGUGUGGAGAUUUAUUACCCAUGAGACUCUGGGCCAGUGGGGCUUUGCCCUAUAAAGUCACUGAGUUAGAACUGACUUGCCAGCAAUGGUCUGUUGUUUGUAUGUUUGUUUGUUUGCAGGCUGGUUGGAGGACAGCACUGCAUUUACUAUCUGUUACUUUGAGCAAGCUACUAACCUCCAAGCCAGUUUCCAACAACAUCAAAUAAAAACUAAUAAAAUUUAAAACUUA